CUUUAAAAAUUAAAAAAAUUUGACAUCAAGUCAGAAUAGAAUUUUCAAAAAUUUUUGAAAUGGAACCAAUACUUUUACAUUUAAUACUUUCAAUUGAAGUGUGAGAUCAACACUGAAAAGUAUUAAAGAUGUACGAAUCCUAUAGUUUCAAAUAUUCCGUUAAGAUUUAAUUUAAUUUUAUAUGUAAAAAUAAACAAGCACCCCAUCUCAUUAGCAUAAAAAAGCAGAUUAAACACUUCCCAUAUACAAUGCCACAUGAUAUACAUUACUAUUCCAAAAGGGAGGAAAGGAAGCAUUAUGAAGAAAUAUUGGAACAAAACAAGGCUGAAAAGAAGGUGCUGUCUACAUGCUGAGUUUACACACUGAUUGUUACUUUCUUCAUGAAGUCAGUUGUGCUAUGUUCUGGGGGCCAAUUAAGGAAACCUCUGAUGGAAAGCCAGAAAGUCUGUAUUUAAUGUCUUUAAAUCCUCGAGCAACCUGGUCUAGGUAAGUUCCUUUUAUAAUCAAAGAUGAGUUGACUUACCUCUGUCAAUGAGAGUUGAAAAACACAUCUUUCAGGUCUAAGACAGCAUGCAUCAUUGUGUGUGCUCAUGUGUGUGUGU
Molecule: long non-coding RNA, 602 nt
Organism: Rattus rattus (black rat)
Lineage: Eukaryota; Metazoa; Chordata; Mammalia; Rodentia; Muridae
Exons: 3
Source: RefSeq, a predicted model, not a curated record